UAAAAUGAAGUGCAGUCACAUAAUAUAUU
This 29-nucleotide small RNA is filed under the name Bombyx mori (domestic silkworm). RNAcentral describes it as "ovarian small RNA-18067". Lineage: Eukaryota; Metazoa; Arthropoda; Insecta; Lepidoptera; Bombycidae. The record is from RNAcentral.